AGUGAACGCUGGCGGUAGGCCUAACACAUGCAAGUCGAACGGCAGCACAGUAAGAGCUUGCUCUUACGGGUGGCGAGUGGCGGACGGGUGAGGAAUACAUCGGAAUCUACUUUUUCGUGGGGGAUAACGUAGGGAAACUUACGCUAAUACCGCAUACGACCUACGGGUGAAAGCAGGGGAUCUUCGGACCUUGCGCGAUUGAAUGAGCCGAUGUCGGAUUAGCUAGUUGGCGGGGUAAAGGCCCACCAAGGCGACGAUCCGUAGCUGGUCUGAGAGGAUGAUCAGCCACACUGUAACUGAGACUCGUUCCAGACUCCUACAGGAGGCAGCAGUGGGGAAUAUUGGACAAUGGGCGCAAGCCUGAUCCAGCCAUACCGCGUGGGUGCAGAAGGCCUUCGGGUUGUAAAGCCCUUUUGUUGGGAAAGAAAAGCAGCAGGUUAAUACCCCGCUGUUCUGACGGUACCCAAAGAAUAAGCACCGGCUAACUUCGUG
This 492-nucleotide ribosomal RNA is filed under the name uncultured bacterium. RNAcentral describes it as "partial 16S ribosomal RNA". It matches the Rfam family "Bacterial small subunit ribosomal RNA", at positions 29 to 507 of the family's 1533-position model. The record is from RNAcentral.